Molecule: small RNA, 182 nt
Filed under: Verrucomicrobiota bacterium
Lineage: Bacteria; Pseudomonadati; Verrucomicrobiota
Description: 6S RNA
Source: RNAcentral
GACACCCUGCAGUGUUCGAGGUGCUUUCAAUAACCGCUCUUUGCCUUUGCUUCUUUUCGGGAGCCGAACCGACGGCGAAAGCUGCUAGGCCGUAAAUCGGAAAGCAAACGUCGCCGCGGAAUCCCCACCUAGACACAAAAAGGAAUAGAGCCUUUGGGCAUACGGCACAAAGCAGGGUGUCC